GGGAGCGUAACAACUUGUUUGAUUGUUUGGUGGUGGUGGGGGCAAAAUUUAUUAUUAGUAGUAGUUGUAUUAUUCAGCACAAUUAUACACAAAUAUGUUAGGGGAAAAUUAGUUGUUCAUAGGGGGCCCGACACGCGUCACUUAGUCUUGACACUUCUCUGAACUGUCUCUGUCUGGACUACUGAAUGAAUUAUUUUGGACUUGCGAUAUGGACUGUGAAACUUCGAUAAAAGGGAAGCUGAAAACUUUCCACUUCCUUUUUGUAACUCACUGCAGACAAACUACCUGUUUAGCUAAUAUGUGCUACAGUCUACGAAGAAAACAACACACGACACCUUUCACUGCCAUUUAACUCACGCGCUGCGCCAGACAAGCCCCAGCGCGCCCCUCGCGGACAUAGCUGCCGUAUUCUGCUUCGAAGUGUCGCAUCUUCAGAUGUUUACGACACUUGUACGUGGUCUGCAGACGGCAAAGUCGGGCAGUCAGGUUCCAGUUCCGCAACAGGUGCUGUCAUCCGGGUCAUUAGUGACGCAUUUCAGUAACUGACAUUACAUGGACGUAUUUUACUGUGUCAUACAGGAAGAAGUUCACAACAUGGAAAAAACUACUGUAAAUCAUCAAAUCCGAGAAGGCUUAUUGUCUUUCUCUUGCCCCCAGUAAAUCAGGGCAUUGUGCACUUAACUUAAGACUUCUGUAUGUGUGUUUUACAGAAUGGUUAUUCAAACGAGCUCUGUUGACCCCAUGUAAUUUCUUGUCUCCUUUGGCCAUUUUUGUCGAAGCAGUUGUUGAGCUUUCUUAACAACUCGUCAGAGUCACUGCAAGUCCAAGAAGUGCAGACACAAAUGUCAACAUAAACAUGCCAUCUAGCUGCCCGCAGGAGGGCCAGAGGUCCUGCCUUUGGCUCCAGAACCUGAACAUGGACAUUUUGAGGGUAAUCUAUGUUUCUUGGGGGAGUAAAGGAAACCAAAGGCAUGCAGGUUUAUAUGGCAUGCUCCUUCAGAGGGACCAUUACAAGCCCCCCCAGAUACUUAAGAGCCAAGGAAGCAAUCCUGUAACAGCUGGGAAAACAAAAUUGUAGACCACACCGGUAAGUAAACUGUUUUAUGCUAAUACUAUGGAUUUGGGUAUGUUGCUGAGACAAAGCUUCAGUGUGUGUGCAAGCAUAUGAUAUUGCUCACUUCACCUGCCUCUUUUUUUAUGGAUGUGCUGUUAGGGCUGUUAGGGCUGUUGCUUUGCACUCACAGGACUCAGGUUCAAAUCCCACCUUCUCCUUUCGUGCCCCUGAGUGAGCUACUUAACCUGAACUGUUCUAUGUAAAAAUGACCCAAUGGUAUAAAUUGAAUGGGGGGUGCGGUGGCGCAGUGGGUUGGACCAGGUCCUGCUCUCCAGUGGGUCUGGGGUUCAGAAAAUGUGUGUGUGUGGUAUAAAUUGGUAAAUCAUUGUAAGAAGCUUUACAUAGUGUAUCACUUUGGAGCAAACAUAACACACACACACACACACACACACAGACAUUUUCUGAACCGCUUGUCCCAUACGGGGUUGCGGGGAACCGGAGCCUAACCCAACAACUCAGGGCAUAAGGCUGGAGGGGGAGGGGACACACCCAGGACGGGACGCCAGUCCGUCACAAGGCACCCCAAGCGGGACUGGAACCCCAGGACCUGGCCCAACCCACUGCGCCACCGUGCCCUCCUAAGCAAACAUCACAUGAAUGAAUAAAUGUAAAUAUAAUAAAAUAAGGUAGGUUUAU
Molecule: long non-coding RNA, 1750 nt
Organism: Scleropages formosus (Asian bonytongue)
Lineage: Eukaryota; Metazoa; Chordata; Actinopteri; Osteoglossiformes; Osteoglossidae
Source: Ensembl